CGCGGCUCGACUGUAGUGUUGUCUCAGUCUCUCGUUUGAAGCUUCUGUGACUGCAACUUGCACAGCUCCGUCGUGAUGUCUGAGGCUCUCGGACGCAGCCGUCAUUCCCUUGAAGGCACAAUGAGGAAAAACCUAACAUCUGGUUGUUGAAGACUUUACAAGACCAUUCCUCAUUUAAGCCAAGUCCACUUAAUAAGUCCUGGAAAAUGUUCUACUCAAGGCAGCAAGUACACACAGAGCCCAAAUGAACUAUAAUUAAGGUGGCAAGAGACCAAGGAAAAGAGCAGUGUUAGUUCAAUUGUUUCCUUUGCACGGGUAACAGAUGGACUCCAAGGUCUAAUAACCCUUUUGUACUUCAGCUAAGGCUGACAAUACAUCAUUAUACUCAGAUGGAAGCAAGAAGAAGGUGCCUAGCAACUUGGACUUGGAAUGCCUAGGCUUUUGUCAAUUUACAUCAUAAUCUUAAUAUUAAACAGGCUUGCUCUCAUUU
This is a long non-coding RNA of Cervus elaphus (red deer), 490 nucleotides long. RefSeq lists it as uncharacterized. The transcript has 3 exons. The record is from RefSeq and is a predicted model, not a curated record. NCBI's taxonomy places the organism in Eukaryota, Metazoa, Chordata, Mammalia, Artiodactyla, Cervidae.